This 243-nucleotide long non-coding RNA is filed under the name Cavia porcellus (domestic guinea pig). RNAcentral describes it as "lncRNA (ENSCPOG00000040382.1)". Lineage: Eukaryota; Metazoa; Chordata; Mammalia; Rodentia; Caviidae. The record is from RNAcentral.
CAGAGGGAGGAUUCCUUCUGGGCUCCCAGUGGCUUCUGAGGGAGCCCUAGUGUCACUCAUCAACCGUCUGCAGUGACAGGCAGGUGCCUGCCCACAGCGAGCUCCCCAACAGGUGCCAGCAGGGUGUGGGAAAAGGCCACGCCCUCGGUUCACAGCAGCCUGGCCACCUGUGGACCUCCAGCACUCUUGAGGGUCUGCGGCAGAUCUCUGGGGCUCAGCGGGCACCUUUGUCCUCUGGCCACC